Pelobates fuscus (common spadefoot toad) is the source of this 141-nucleotide long non-coding RNA. RefSeq lists it as uncharacterized. The transcript is spliced from 3 exons. NCBI's taxonomy places the organism in Eukaryota, Metazoa, Chordata, Amphibia, Anura, Pelobatidae. The record is from RefSeq and is a predicted model, not a curated record.
UGUUGAAUGCUGCAGUUGGUUGUGUAACUCACCAUUAGAAAUGAAAGUGUCUGUCCUCCUUUUACUUAAAUGCAUUAUAGUCCUCAAGAGGAAAGACUGAAAGAGGCUCAGAUUUAGGAGAACAAGGAGUGUUAAAUUGGC